This 3104-nucleotide long non-coding RNA is filed under the name Mytilus galloprovincialis (Mediterranean mussel). The record is from RNAcentral. Lineage: Eukaryota; Metazoa; Mollusca; Bivalvia; Mytilida; Mytilidae.
CAGUGCAUUCAGAAAAGAAAUAAAUUAGUGUAUUCACAUUGCAACUUAAUAAUUUCAUUGAAAAAUGUCUUAAUUUAAGAGAAAACAUAAUGAUUGUUAAUUUUCAUCUAUUAAUAAAAUUAUACCCUUAAUUUUGCUAUUAUUUUGUCGGAAAUCUCAUACCUGCGAAAUACUAACUAAUAUGGAAUAGCAACGAUCACUCGUCAAACAAAUGGAAACGGAACAUAUGUUAUUUGGUCAACUACCACAGAUUACUACAUUUUGUCAUUAGAGUGUAUAAUACAUUGUGUGUUACCUGUGUGAAGUCAAUAGUAAGUAAAAUUAAGAUACUUCCUUGAAAUGCUAUAAUUAUAGCAGUUUACCAAUAAAAUAUGAAUUAUACAAUACCACGAACACAAUAAAACUAAACCAACAUAAAGUGUCGAUUAAACAAUGACGAGUUAACAAAACAAAAAUCCACAACACAUGUGCGAUUUUACACAAACUUUACAAACAAUAGGAGUGACUGAAUAAUUUUGCUAGUCCUCACAAGUGCAAGGUCAACAGUUUUGUAAUGUAUUAGAAAUAGACAUAUACUAAUGAGCUACAGAUAACUAUGCGCACGUGGCAUUGUGUCUUCAUUAAUCGAAGAAAUUGGGAGGGAUUCAAUCCACAACCGCAUGAUAAAUCUAUUAUAUCAACUGUCAUUUGCGACAAAACAUUAUUUUCGGUCAAUUAAAUAAAAGUCGAUAGCAUACAUCAUAAAAGAGAUGUCUUCGACGUUACCAUGACGCGUUCGUUUGGGCUUAAACGAUCAUGAAUAUGUGAAUUACACUCUCUCUUAACAUAUAAGAUCCAUUGGAACUCCCAGAUUGAUCCCUAACCAACAUAUCUUUAUUUUCCAGUGAUGUUCAACUUUUCCAACCUUUAUUUCACUCGAAUUCCUGUACAGAAUCAACCACUUGUUUUUAUUGUAAAUCUACUAUCGUCCUGAGUAUCCAUAUAUUUAUGGAAUAAUUUUGACACUGGAGGUAAGUAAGCAAAAUGAAUUUUGUUUCAACUAAAGACAACAAAAUAAUCUAAUAGAAAUUAAUCUUAAACAAAAUAAUAACUUUAUAGUAAACGAAUUGCAUAGUCAGAAAUAAGUAAGCAAGGAAAUAUGAAAUUAUGACAUAAUAGCAGAUAUUUCACAAAUAUCUCUCAUUGCAAUUUCUUUAGGAUAAAAGGAGUAGAAAGUUAGAGGAAAGUCUUUAUUUGUCAUUGUAAACAUUGAAGACAUAUAGAUAUAGGAAGAUGUGGUGUGAGGGCCAAUGAGACAACCCUCCAUCCAAAUAACAAUUUUUAAAAAAAGUAAACCAUUAUACCUAUUAAGGCAGGUUUAUCGACGAAAUGUAUCAAAAGAGACGCCGAAGAUACUAAAAUAGAUAUCAAAAUGCGUAGGUCGAUAACAGACUGACAACAACAUCGCAAAGAAUAACAAACGAAAUAAAAACAAACAAAAGUAAUAGUAUUAUAAACAUCACAAAAAAAACCUAAAAACUGAGCAACAAGAACUCCACCAUAAACUGGGUGUAAUAUCUGGUUUUCCGAAAUAACAAAACAAAACAGAUGUUGCUUCACAUCUGAAUUUUUUGAUAACGCAUGCAAAAUGUGAAAAAGAAAGUGUCAGAGUCAUUGAUAGGUUCACAUAUGCCCUUGACAUUAUUUCUCUAACAAUAUCAGUUAAAUAUGCAUUACCUGUUAUAUAUUUUUUAAGUACAAACAUAAUUAUAUUUAUAUAUUUUCAUGGCCAAUUUUUUAAUAUUUGGAGUAUUUGUUUUAAUGCCAAAAAUUAGCAGUUAGGUUCUAAAAUAAAUUACCGUGCAUUUUAUUUUAGCCUUGUUUUGAAAGAGGUUUUGUAAUCCACUUAAAGUUUGUUCUUAUUUCAAUCUGAUUUGUUAUAACAUUUUGACAAAUCUGAAGUUUAUGUUAUGAUGUGGUUUUCCAUCCAUUACAGAUGAAUUUGCAGCAUUGAUAAACAGAGUGUACAAUACCGGUACACGCCAUCCUUAAUGGAAAAUGCUGGAUAGUUUACGUUCGAUUGUAUAACUGGUGUUCCCGGAUUUGGAAACAAGUUAACUCAUUUAUAUCCGAACUAUUGUAAAUUCAAUAUUUGAUGAUAACGAAAUAAAUAAUAAAUUGGUGAAAACGCAAAGUUAUUGAAACGUAACUUAUUAUUUGAAUCAAUUGCGUAUGCUUAUUAAGUAUACUCGAGCUCUUACUACAAACGCAAGAUGUUGUACUUUGUAUUUCAAGGUUAUAUUGAGAUAUAAUUGUACUUAUGUAAUGUGUAACUUCAAGAGGAAGAUUGUAUGGAUUUGAUAACAGAACGACUGUAACAUGUGUAACAAAAGUGAAAGUGAGAUCAUAAUUGGGUAUAUACGGAUUAUAUUAAUGUAUGAAGUACAAACGUAGCAAAAGUCGUACAUGGCUAAAGGUGUAAUACCACCAAAUCAUGGUCAUAUCCGGUUGUAUAUGUAAAUUGGAAGAAAAAAAUAUUCCCUUGAAUUUGACAGUUGUAGGUAAUAAAUCCUAUAUUUUAUGGCAGUAACACAUUUCUGUUUCAUAAACAUAUGUCUUAGGAAUUUCAAGGCACCAUUAUUUUUUUAUUUGGGGUUUCUAUUGUAUAUUUCUUCAACUUGAGGUUAUAUGGUUACUUAAUCUUGUACACAGGUUAAAUAAUGGUGGGGGGGAUUUGAUUGGUUAACUUCCAGUGAUGGUUAUUUUCUAAUAUGCAAUAAAAUUAUAUGUGAAUUUUUUCUAUAGUACUGGACAGGAUAAAACGUUACCCAUGCCAAGUAUUUCUUUAUUUGAAACAAAGAUACAUUCGGCACAUUUUAUGAAAAAUUCAAAUCUAACAAAGACUAAUAGGGGAAAUCAAUGGUGGAAUUACACCUAAAUCAAGCAAGUUAAUAGCGAUUAUCAUAUAUACAAUGGUAGUACUUGACCUUUUUUGAGAGAGGGAACUAAAUUCAUUUCACUACAUGUAUUUCAGUUCCGGUAUACACAAUGGUCCAAAUGUAUUUUUCGUCGGCAAAUGUAUUUACAUUAGAAGAAAAAUAAUUUUAUCUUAAAUAAAAUUCAAU